Molecule: ribosomal RNA, 1524 nt
Filed under: Salmonella enterica
Lineage: Bacteria; Pseudomonadati; Pseudomonadota; Gammaproteobacteria; Enterobacterales; Enterobacteriaceae
Description: bacterial LSU rRNA
Rfam family: Bacterial large subunit ribosomal RNA
Source: RNAcentral
AUAGGGGAGCCGGAGGGAAACCGAGUCUUAAUUGGGCGUUAAGUUGCAGGGUAUAGACCCGAAACCCGGUGAUCUAGCCAUGGGCAGGUUGAAGGUUGGGUAACACUAACUGGAGGACCGAACCGACUAAUGUUGAAAAAUUAGCGGAUGACCUGUGGCUGGGGGUGAAAGGCCAAUCAAACCGGGAGAUAGCUGGUUCUCCCCGAAAGCUAUUUAGGUAGCGCCUCGUGAAUUCAUCUCCGGGGGUAGAGCACUGUUUCGGCUAGGGGGCCAUCCCGGCUUACCAACCCGAUGCAAACUGCGAAUACCGGAGAAUGUUAUCACGGGAGACACACGGCGGGUGCUAACGUCCGUCGUGAAGAGGGAAACAACCCAGACCGCCAGCUAAGGUCCCAAAGUCAUGGUUAAGUGGGAAACGAUGUGGGAAGGCCCAGACAGCCAGGAUGUUGGCUUAGAAGCAGCCAUCAUUUAAAGAAAGCGUAAUAGCUCACUGGUCGAGUCGGCCUGCGCGGAAGAUGUAACGGGGCUAAACCAUGCACCGAAGCUGCGGCAGCGACACUGUGUGUUGUUGGGUAGGGGAGCGUUCUGUAAGCCUGUGAAGGUGUGUCGUGAGGCAUGCUGGAGGUAUCAGAAGUGCGAAUGCUGACAUAAGUAACGAUAAAGCGGGUGAAAAGCCCGCUCGCCGGAAGACCAAGGGUUCCUGUCCAACGUUAAUCGGGGCAGGGUGAGUCGACCCCUAAGGCGAGGCCGAAAGGCGUAGUCGAUGGGAAACGGGUUAAUAUUCCCGUACUUGGUGUUACUGCGAAGGGGGGACGGAGAAGGCUAUGUUGGCCGGGCGACGGUUGUCCCGGUUUAAGCGUGUAGGUGUGUGUUCCAGGUAAAUCCGGUUCACUUUAACACUGAGGCGUGACGACGAGGCACUACGGUGCUGAAGCAACAAAUGCCCUGCUUCCAGGAAAAGCCUCUAAGCAUCAGGUAACAUCAAAUCGUACCCCAAACCGACACAGGUGGUCAGGUAGAGAAUACCAAGGCGCUUGAGAGAACUCGGGUGAAGGAACUAGGCAAAAUGGUGCCGUAACUUCGGGAGAAGGCACGCUGACACGUAGGUGAAGUGAUUUACUCAUGGAGCUGAAGUCAGUCGAAGAUACCAGCUGGCUGCAACUGUUUAUUAAAAACACAGCACUGUGCAAACACGAAAGUGGACGUAUACGGUGUGACGCCUGCCCGGUGCCGGAAGGUUAAUUGAUGGGGUCAGCGCAAGCGAAGCUCCUGAUCGAAGCCCCGGUAAACGGCGGCCGUAACUAUAACGGUCCUAAGGUAGCGAAAUUCCUUGUCGGGUAAGUUCCGACCUGCACGAAUGGCGUAAUGAUGGCCAGGCUGUCUCCACCCGAGACUCAGUGAAAUUGAACUCGCUGUGAAGAUGCAGUGUACCCGCGGCAAGACGGAAAGACCCCGUGAACCUUUACUAUAGCUUGACACUGAACAUUGAGCCUUGAUGUGUAGGAUAGGUGGGAGGCUUUGAAG